GUAGGUGAACCUGCGGAAGGAUCAUUCUUGUAUCAAACCCACUUUCCAGUGGCAAACUAUGUGAACUGUACAUCUCACUUGUGUGUAUCGGCUGGCAAUGCUGAUGCAGCGCGACGAGUGGUGCCGACUUGGAGAAAGGCGGUACAUCUCUACUCUUUUGGGGGAAGUGUAUGCGCGUCGUCUCUUUUGGCUGCCGCCGUUAGGCUGCAUUUGCCUGUCCGAUGCUCACGUUACCACGUACCCAACCAAACAUUCAAACUUACAAUUAUUAUAAAUCAAUACAACUUUUAGCAACGGAUCUCUAGGCUCUC
This 311-nucleotide unclassified non-coding RNA is filed under the name rhizosphere metagenome. Its description in RNAcentral is "partial ribosomal RNA internal transcribed spacer region". The record is from RNAcentral.